Long non-coding RNA from Coregonus clupeaformis (lake whitefish), 862 nucleotides. RefSeq lists it as uncharacterized. Lineage: Eukaryota; Metazoa; Chordata; Actinopteri; Salmoniformes; Salmonidae. The record is from RefSeq and is a predicted model, not a curated record. The transcript is spliced from 2 exons.
CCUGGCUGAAAUUCCACCUUAUCUGUGGUCUGUUUUAUCUGUGGUCUGUUGUGCUAACCCAUUUGGCCUAGUAAUGUAUUACAGUAACCACAGGUCUGAUAUCCCUUCAACAGUGGCGUAACUGACUGAAAAUGUCACCACAGUCAUAAUUAAAAAAAUAAAAUACAAAUAAAAGAUCGAAUAUGGAAAUUAUUAUCUUUCUAAAUGCAGAAAGAUGAGGUUUGUUUAUUGUUGAUCGUUUUAUGUGUGACUGUUUAUGUGUGUAUCUGUUUGCUUAUACGGACAUAUCCCUGAAAACCAUGCAGUGACCCUGGAACUAAAGUGAGAGAGAAGGAUCUCAAUGUAAAUAUGUAUCAUAUUCUGUUGUUGGUUUUCCAUGUUUCAUUGUGGAGCUUGGGUUUGGACUAAACUUUCUAAAAGCAGUACCGUCUUUUAUUUUAUUCACAUCACGACAAAUAGCGGUACGAAAUGUACUUAUUACACAUUAAUAUAGGAACCCAAACUGUAAGACCAUCCCUAAUGUUUGAGUGUAGACCUCUCCCACUGCAUUCGAACACCUCUGUGGAACAGGUGUCAAUGUGCUUGCUUUGGAGAUGGAAGGAUGGAUCUCUCUAAGGGAACAAGAGCACAUUACUGACCCCUAUUGGUGGAAAUGGAUCACUGCUUUUUGAAAGUGCAACUGUCUAAAACCCAAGCAUUUAGUUAACAAUAUAUUUUAGACAGGUAUGUUACAACACAAGGACCUUACUAAGCAAUAUCUUUUAGACAGGUAUGUUACAACACAAGGAGCUUAUUAAGCAAUAUCUUUUAUUUUGACCAAGCCAAUUGACUUCCAUAAUUUGAAAUAAAUGUUUUUAAAGAA